This 776-nucleotide ribosomal RNA is filed under the name uncultured bacterium. RNAcentral's name for it is "bacterial SSU rRNA". It matches the Rfam family "Bacterial small subunit ribosomal RNA", at positions 8 to 796 of the family's 1533-position model. The record is from RNAcentral.
AGAGUUUGAUCCUGGCUCAGGAUGAACGCUGGCGGCGUGCUUAACACAUGCAAGUCGAACGGGAUCCAUCAAGCUUGCUUGAUGGUGAGAGUGGCGAACGGGUGAGUAAUGCGUGACUAACCUGCCUCAUACACCGGAAUAGCUCCUGGAAACGGGUGGUAAUGCCGGAUGCUCCAACAUUUCACAUGUUUUGUUGGGAAAGCGUUAGCGGUAUGAGAUGGGGUCGCGUCCUAUCAGCUUGUUGGUGAGGUAAUGGCUCACCAAGGCUUCGACGGGUAGCCGGCCUGAGAGGGCGACCGGCCACAUUGGGACUGAGAUACGGCCCAGACUCCUACGGGAGGCAGCAGUGGGGAAUAUUGCACAAUGGGCGAAAGCCUGAUGCAGCGACGCCGCGUGCGGGAUGAAGGCCUUCGGGUUGUAAACCGCUUUUAAUUGGGAGCAAGCGAGAGUGAGUGUACCUUUUGAAUAAGCACCGGCUAACUACGUGCCAGCAGCCGCGGUAAUACGUAGGGUGCAAGCGUUAUCCGGAAUUAUUGGGCGUAAAGAGCUCGUAGGCGGUUUGUCACGCCUGGUGUGAAAGUCCAUCGCUUAACGGUGGAUCUGCGCCGGGUACGGGCAGGCUAGAGUGCAGUAGGGGAGAUUGGAAUUCCCGGUGUAACGGUGGAAUGUGUAGAUAUCGGGAAGAACACCAAUGGCGAAGGCAGAUCUCUGGGCUGUUACUGACGCUGAGGAGCGAAAGCAUGGGGAGCGAACAGGAUUAGAUACCCUGGUAGUCC